UCAUGCAAACAAACCCAAGAGAGCUGAUAUAAUGCUAACCCCUUUCUUUCUCCUGCCAAAACAGAGACAAAACCCUGGAAUGUCCCCCUUCCAAAUACAUCUCCAUUUUGUUCUUAUCCUGUAGGCACGUUGUGUGAAGCAUUGGUAGAAAUAAACACACAAAAGGAAAAUAUGAGCUGACUGCUCUUCAUCUGACUGGAACAUCUGGAAUGAUGUGCUGUCAAUGGCAGGAGAGGAGUUUCCUUGAGGGAACAACUGACUCAGAAAUGUUUUGCAUACAUAGCCACUUAUUAAAGCAGUUUACACCCAGGAAAAUAUACCCGAAAUAUAUUUUCACCUGAAGCUAUAAACAGAGAAUGUAGCACUGCUCACGAAAGUGUGAUACAACGCUCUUUGGUAUAUAUCAGGUAGAAUAUUCAGGCUUAAACCCAGUUGAUGAAACCUUAAUCAGGAGAAGGUUUUGACAAAACAUUCUCCCAUUUGCAUGAGGUGUGGCAGUUGCAUAGGAAGACAGCAUGAGGCACACAUUCAGAAUGCCAAGUGCCAAGGAAGAAAAGAAAAGAAAUUGCUGAAAUGGAACCAGGGUAGACUGAGAAGUAUGAAGGAUGCGGUUGAUAAGAUACCAGGGAAGAACUAACUAGUUUCUUUAUUUUAAUGCAAAGAGGGGGACCCAAGAAAAGAGUUACACUUCUCUGCCUGCUUAGGGAAUUUGGAGGGAAAGGAAUAACUAUCCGUUCACCUGCUGAUACACAGCCACAAUUCUUAACUUGAUAAGAGCAAUCACAACACCCUACUGAGGCAAUCAGCACCAUCCAGCACCAGUCGCACCCUGCCUCUUCCUUGCACUUUCCUUGCUCUUCCUUACACCCUCAGGCACAAGGCAGUGAGAGCUCCCUGUUGCCACCCUCACCAACAACAACACAAGGACAACCUUCAGCAGGAAUGUGGAUAGGCAGCUGGCCUUGAGCAACUGAGAAGCUUCCUCAGCCUCAGGAGAAAGAGAAGCUAGGAUUCCUAUUUUUAAGGAAUUUUGAGAGUAAAUAUUUCAAUGUAUUUAAGAGGUAUGAAGUUGGGGGAAGCUUCCAUUAGAGCAGUGACAGGGGAACAUAAAGAUCUCACAGUUGAAAGUAAACACAAACACAAAGUUAAAUAGUAGGCCACUAUUGGCUAGCAGCAGACCUAACCCAAUUAGACACUGUUGUUUAACUGCUAUUAUGUUAAUAUGUAUAUUCAUUUUAGUAUUUGACUAUGUGAUUUUUAAAGGGACAUGGAGGCUCAGGGGCUAAAAUGCUGAGCUUGUCGAUCGAAAGGUCGGCAGUUCAGCGGUUCGAAUCCCUAGUGCUGCCAUGUAACAGGGUGAGCUCCCGUUACUUGUCCCAGCUUCUGCCAAUCUAGCAGUUUGAAAGCACAUAAAAAAUGCAAGUAGAAAAAAUAGGGAUCACCUUUGGUGGGAAGGUAACAGCGUUCCGUGCACCUUUGGUGUUGAGUCAUGCCGGCCACAUGACCACAGAGACGUCUUUGGACAGCGCUGGCUCUUCGGCUUUGAACGGAGAUGAGCACCUCCCCAUAGAGUUGGGAACGACUAGCAUGUAUGUGCAAAGGGAACCUUUAUCUUUACCUUUAUGUGGUUUUUAAUAUAUAUUUUAAUAUUACUCUCCAUUGAGGCCUUACAGUCAAAACAAAUCUCACCCUUCAGGCUUUCCUAUUAUCCUAUAACUACAGAACAGAACUUAUAUAUUUUCCUUUAUGUAAGGCACGGGUGUCAAACUUGCUGCGUCACGUUGCCGUCACAUGAUGUUUCGUGAUUUAUUUAUUUAUUUUUUUAUUUGAAUUUAUAUCCCGCCCUUCUCCGAAGACUCAGGGCGGCUUAUACUGUGUUAAGCAAUAGUCUUCAUCCAUUUGUAUAUUAUAUACAAAGUCAACUUUUAUUGCCCCCAACAAUCUGGGUCCUCAUUUUACCUACCUUAUAAAGGAGGGAAGGCUGAGUCAACCUUGGGCCUGGUGGGACUUGAACUUGCAGUAAUUGCAAGCAGCUGUGUUAAUAACAGACAGACUUAGUCUGCUGAGCCACCAGAGGCCCUAUUUCUCCAUUUGGGAGCUGGGAUGGGCGUGGUUUGUGUUUGAUCCAUCCGGCCGGCAGGCCGCCAUUUUGACACCCCUGAUGUAAGGAAAUAGGAAGCAAUACUACAUGGGACUAUCUCAAAAGAGAGGAAAGGGAAGCUCCCCCUGUGUGGCUCCAAGCUUAGGAUGGAGUCAUUCAGUAAUUAGGACUUUAAAGAAAAACACUUCAUUGACUCACUCCCCAAAGCACUCUGGGAACAAAUACAGGCAGCCAGAAAAUAUUCUCUCUGACACUGUGCCAAUCCAAUAUUCAGCAUGCAGAUAAACUACUGCAUUCUGCACACCCAAGGCUUCCAUGCAAUUUUUUAAAGGCAUUCCAGGCUCAAAGGAAGAUGGAUGCAAUGUUCCUAUAGUCCACAAGGGGGUGCAGUUGAUGUAAAUGUAAAUAAUGUAAAUUAUUUGCAUGUAAAGAAUGGAAACCUCCAUGUCAUGGAUCACCUGCUUUUGUUGCUAGGUUCAAUCUGGAAUAGGUGAAGCAAUUUUAAAUAGCUGUAGUUGUGUACCUGGAGACAGAGGGUCUGCAGGGUCUAGAGACUGCUAGGGUCUGAAUAGGGAGAAACAUGUUUAAACUGAAUCCUACCAAACAGAGGGGCUAUAGACUCAGAGGCUACCUCAGUCUAGAGGCAGCCCAUCAGGAAGGGAUGUGCUCUCCCAAAUGGGCCUGGCCUGUAAAUUGGAGAUCCUGCACCAGUAAGGAGGGACAAAACAGUCUGACUUAAGCUGAAACUCAUUCAGAAAUUACUUGGUUCAAGAGUUCAUGUAACCCCUUCUAUCAACCUAAAGGUGCAAGGAAAGAAAUGGUACAAAAUGCAUACUAGGAGAUUCCCAAGUCCAGAUACUCAUGAUUUCCCUGAUGAGUAACCAUACAUGAUUCAUUUGUCAGAAUCAUAUCUUUGUAGUCCAGGCAAGUUAUGAAUUAUUUGCUUAUAUUGAAAUUUCUGAGAAACUCUGAAUGAGAAGUAAGGACAAUAUUUCUCACAUAUUCUGUUCAAGAAAUGGCAAUCCAUCUCCGAAAUGGAAGUAGGUAUCUUGUUUAUUCAAUAUAUGCAUCAAAAUGUAUAUGCAUCACCAUUUGUUUGUUUUUAUUAAUAUAUAUUUUUGUUAUUUAUUUUUACUAUUUAUUACUUAUUCAUUUACACUAGUCUCUAUUCCCCCACUCACUUCCAAAAACAGAAGAAACCUCCCACCAAACCAUACAAUAGUAAAUGUAACUGAAACAAUAUUUGCUAUUGGGAAAGUCAUCUAUUUCCUAAAUUCAGUCCAAGAAAUACCCUUAAAUAAUGAGACAUAACAGUUUAUAGUUUACUAAAGCAAUCAUUCAUGUUCAAUAGAAAAUUUGGCUGUAAUAAGAAAUUUGAAAUAGUGGCUUUGCAUGCAUUGUUCUAGUAAUAUGCAUUUGGCCAAAGGCUCAUCACCCCUUGGAAGGAAUUUAAGCCUGCUUAAUAUUCUGUCCUUGUGCUUGACAAUAGCAAUAGGUUUCUUAAUCACAAAUGCCACUAAUAAGCAUCUGUUUUACAAAAGAUGCACAUAUGUCCUUUUCUAGAUGACUUCCUAAAUCCUCUGCCCUUUUUAAAUAUAUAAAAAAAUGAUUGCACUUUGUGCAUGUUUCUGUUUAGAUUCCUAUUUUUGUAUAUCUCAUUUUUUCUGUGUUUCACUUUUCUUCUUUAUACUGUAACUGCUAAUAGUUUGCUAAUAAUUCUAAUAGCAAAUCUUUUAUAAAAGUUAUUGCAUUACAUACUUGAUUAAAUUAUCUUUCCAUUGAUAUAUAAUUUUAUGGUACUACUCCAGAAAAAAAUGGUGUUAUUAGCUAGUUUUAGAACAUACAUUUUUCCCAAAAGGUUUCCACAAUUUUGGGCACUACUGUAAUAUCUGUUUUAUAUUUUGAAGCUCUACUUAGCUAUGAAUAAGCUACCAAGAAUGAGCUUUAUAUUUCUAAGUAAAUAUGUGUAGGAUUGCUCGGUAAAUUUCAUGCAUGUGUCAAAUAGCACAAUAUUGACUUAGAAAAUUGUGAACAAUGUUUAAUUUAUUUAUCUAGGCAGUAAAAGACACUUAGCUUUACUAAGAGGAUAACUAUGCCAUACAGUUUGGCUCUUACAUUUUUAAUUUGUUUUUUUUUUUCUGAAGGAAAAGAGAGAGAGGAAGUCUGUCUUCUUACACUCAGAUUUAUGCUGCACUGCAACCUUUAUUGUUGUAUAUUUGCAAAGAAAUGUGCAUUCUAGAGAAGCCAUCAAUUAUUGCAUGAGAAAGCUUAUACAUUUUGGCAAAGAUGCUGGGAGUACAAACAACAGAAAUCUUCUGAAGAUCAGAGAUUUGACCUUGGUUCUGGUUUCCAGAUAGAGGACUGAAAACUUUGAAGAAGAAACUAAAUUCCCUUAUGAUGAAGUGUAUGAUAUCUUUUAUUGUUUGGUUGGGGGUGGGGAGUUCACUGCAGGUUGGUUACAAGGCAAAAUGAAUAUUCUUUUGUUCAUCGAUGGAUUCAGUGGCUGCUGAUUGAAGCUCAGCCUACCAGUGCUGUUGGGUGGUUUUUAAGUGGGAACCCAACACUAUUAUUAGUGGGAUGAAUGAAGGCAGAGGCAUAGGAGCUGCUUGAUGUGUAGGCAAACUGACACCAAGCCUGAGUUCUUCUAGCAAUCAUCAAUGGAGAGCCUAAACAACGUGAAUAUAGUAGUUUCCUUGUCUUUCCUUCACAAAAUCUUCAAAGGAUAUGAGGUUCCUAUCCUGACAGCGCCUGACAAAGGUAGCCCAUUCCUUUUGAAGUAGACACCAUUUCAGCUGGGCAAAAAUGCUGAAAUUCAGUUGGGUGCUUAACUCAUUGGUAGCUAUUUACUGGAUGUGCUUCAUCUGACAAUCAGGUGAAUUAAUAAUUAAAUUGUAUCGAUAUUUAUGAAUCAACCCAUCAAAAAUAAAUGAGAUCAAAACUGAAUAUUUCGAGAUGUCAUUCAAUGAGCACCAUAAAGCAAAAGAAAACAACCAAUAAACCACUAUAAUCAUGAAAAGUCUUGCAAAGAGAUAUCCUCCUUUGGCAAAAAAAUAUUGUACUCACCCCAAAGCAAGAGGAACCUGAAUUUAAAACACUGCUCCCUGAGAAGAUAAAAGAGAAAGCAAGGAGUUGCUUAGCUUCACCAUGGAUCUAAGAUGGUUCUUCCAUCUAUUCAGCCAGGCCUCUUGAUAGCUAUGUUGGUUUGCAUCUCUGAGCUCUACAAACCAGAGGAAUAGCUAAUAUGAAUAGUAAUUGACCAUGGGAAUUGUCUGCUAAAACAGUUGCUCUGUGUGCAGAAGAACUACGCCUGUUCAGUCCAUCCUGGUUCAUUGGAAGGUUACACAAGAACAGUGAACCACAGCCCUAGGACUGCAAAGUGAUUCAGCCUAGCAACUUUGCCUCCUGCCCUUCAACCAUCACAUAAAGAAGAAAAAAGAAGAGAAGGCGUAUCACUCAUAAAACCAUUCAAGUCCCCUUUGUAGGUGAGAGAUGCAGCAUAUAAAAGUUUAAUAAAUCAGCAAAAUGAAUAAAAACAGAAGAACCUGGCACGGUUUUGUGCAAAAUUUUGUAUUUAUUAGUUAUAUGUGUAGAUGCCAAUUUAGAAACAAUUACCAUAGUUGCAUUAGAAAUGUAAAUGUGAGGGAAAUUGUAACUUGAUCUGCUGUCCAAGCGCUACCUUUUGUCGUCAGGUAAGGCUUUUAUUUCUAACAGUUCUUGCUCUUUACACCACCAGUCUUGAACUGGCUCCAUCCUUCUUUCAUAUUAUAUCUGUUUUUCCAAUAAGGUGUCUACAGUUCACAUUAUACCUUUGUGUAAUGCACUAUAUUAUAAAGAAGACUUCAGUAUCUUGUUCAAAUAAACAAUAAUUAUAUUUUUCCUGCCACUUUUAUGUAUAACUCAAGGUGACAAACAUACCUAAUAUCCUGCCUCCUCUUUUCCCCACAAUAACACUGUGAGGUGGGUUGGGCUGAGAGAGAGGGGGGCUGCUGGGGGUGUUUGCAUAUCUCAGGGAAGCCUAAAACUCCUGAUUUCUAUACCAGCACCUUAACCAUCACACCAAACCAGCUCUUUAUAGUGGGAUAUUUAGUGAGGUAUAUUUGGAUUUCUAUGGUAUUUGUUUUAUUCAUCCACUUGGCCUUCUCCCCAAGUACUCAGUCGUUUUAAAGACAUUUGCACGGAUACUCUAGAAUCACAAGCUGCUCUUACAGCAUCCUACUAUUUGUGAUAAUAAUAAUUUAAAUAAAUACAGACCAAUGCAGACAGACAAAAACAGGAAGAGAAAUGAGACUUACCUUACUCCUUAUCCUGUUGAUCUACAAACCAAAGAAGUAUUUGUGUUUUCUGGGUACCCAAACAAUUUCUCCCUUUAUUUAUUUUAUUUUAUUUUAUUUUAUUUUAUUUUAUUUUAUUUUAUUUAUUUAUUUAUUUAUUUAUUUAUUUAUUUGUCAUACAGUACAUAUAAGCAUAAGCAUGAAAUAACUAUACAAUAUAUAAGCAUAUAUAUAAGCAUAAGUAUGUAAUAAGUAUAUUAAUUGGUUAUAAUGAAAGGAAACAAUAGGGCAGGAAUGGUAGGCACCCUUGUGCUCUUAUGCACGCCCCUUACAGACCUCUUAGAAAUGGUGUGAGGUCAACAGUAGACAGUUUUUGAUUGAAGCUUCAGGGAUUUUGGGAAGAGACCACAGAAUGAGGUAGUUUAUUCCAAGUAUUAACAACUCUAUUACUGAAGUCAUAUUUUCUGCAAUCAAGAUUGGAGCGGUUAACAUUAAGCUUAAAACUAUUGUGUGCUCGUGUAUUGUUGCAAUUGAAGCUGAAGUAGUCUUUGACAGGAAGGACAUUGUAAUAGAUGAUUCUAUGAGUUAAACUCAGGUCAUGUCAAAGGCGGCAUAGUUCUAAAUUUUCUAAACCCAGGAUUUCAAGUCUGGUGGCAUAAGGUA
Long non-coding RNA from Ahaetulla prasina, 7035 nucleotides. RefSeq lists it as uncharacterized. The transcript is spliced from 5 exons. NCBI's taxonomy places the organism in Eukaryota, Metazoa, Chordata, Lepidosauria, Squamata, Colubridae. The record is from RefSeq and is a predicted model, not a curated record.